UGCCAUGUCUACGUCCGGAGCGACAGUC
Molecule: non-coding RNA, 28 nt
Filed under: Mus musculus (house mouse)
Lineage: Eukaryota; Metazoa; Chordata; Mammalia; Rodentia; Muridae
Source: RNAcentral